UGGGGAAUAUUGCACAAUGGGCGCAAGCCUGAUGCAGCCAUGCCGCGUGUAUGAAGAAGGCCUUCGGGUUGUAAAGUACUUUCAGUUGGGAGGAAGGUGGUAAGGUUAAUAACCUUGGCAAUUGACGUUACCGACAGAAGAAGCACCGGCUAACUCCGUGCCAGCAGCCGCGGUAAUACGGAGGGUGCAAGCGUUAAUCGGAAUUACUGGGCGUAAAGCGCACGCAGGCGGUUGAUUGAGUCAGAUGUGAAAUCCCCGGGCUUAACCCGGGAAUUGCAUCUGAUACUGGUCAGCUAGAGUCUUGUAGAAGGGGGUAGAAUUCCAUGUGUAGCGGUGAAAUGCGUAGAGAUGUGGAGGAAUACCGGUGGCGAAGGCGGCCCCCUGGACAAAGACUGACGCUCAGGUGCGAAAGCGUGGGGAGCAAACAGG
RNAcentral lists this ribosomal RNA (429 nucleotides) under Chloroflexota bacterium. Its description in RNAcentral is "Chloroflexi bacterium partial 16S ribosomal RNA". It matches the Rfam family "Bacterial small subunit ribosomal RNA", at positions 355 to 776 of the family's 1533-position model. The record is from RNAcentral. Lineage: Bacteria; Bacillati; Chloroflexota.